UUAGCUGAAACCAAAAUAGAGGUAAUUUAUUGUUAAUAAAUUUAUUGAAUAUAAGAUUCCUGCUAAC
RNAcentral lists this transfer RNA (67 nucleotides) under Pseudomyrmex pallidus. Its description in RNAcentral is "tRNA-Asn". Lineage: Eukaryota; Metazoa; Arthropoda; Insecta; Hymenoptera; Formicidae. The record is from RNAcentral.